Molecule: ribosomal RNA, 253 nt
Filed under: uncultured bacterium
Lineage: Bacteria
Description: partial 16S ribosomal RNA
Rfam family: Bacterial small subunit ribosomal RNA
Source: RNAcentral
GACGGGGGAUGCAAGCGUUAUCCGGAAUCACUGGGCGUAAAGCGUCUGUAGGCGGUGAUGCAAGUCACUGGCGCAAAACUCUGGCUCAACCGGAGGAAAGCCAGUGAAACUGCAUGACUAGAGUGUGGGAGAGGUAGAAGGAAUUCCCUGAGUAGCGGUGAAAUGCGUAGAUACAGGGAAGAACACCGGAGGCGAAAGCGUUCUACUGGAACACAACUGACACUGAGAUACGAAAGCUAGGGGAGCGAAUGGG